UCCUUUUUGGAGGCUCUGGGGAAGAACAUGCUUUGAAGUUCAUUCAUUGGUUGUUGGCUGAAUUCAGUUCUUGUGGAUUUAGGACGGAGGUUCCCAUUCCUCGUUGGGUGUCAGCCGGGAGCCUCUGUCUCAGCGUUGUAAGGCGGCCCACGUUCAUUCUCACCUGGCCUCCACCAUCUUCCAGCCAGCAAUGGCAAGGACUGCAAUUGCCGUGUCAAUUGAGGGAAGACUGCACUUUGUUUCGCUUGAAACCUUACCAAGUUGUUCGCCAUUUUGGAAUGUCACGACACUGAUGGCAAGACCACCCUUGACAAUACCUACUGACUCCUUGACGUGAAUGAUGAGGAUCUACGUCAGUUACAUCAUCCCUCCUCACAAAUCUCUAUUUCUUUCUCCAUCGAAGUUUGACUGUAUCCUCUGAUCCCCGCUUGAGCAGCUGAGGAUAUCAAUAGUGCUGCUUUUUCAUUCAUAUUCUCCCAUGCCCCCCUUUGUGUCAUCUAUGCUUUCAUUGGCAUAGUCAAACAUUGUCAAGGUUUGCUAACAUUUUCAUUUAGUUCUGCAAACAGAACUCAGUCUUUUUUUUUUUUUUGCUUUGUCAUAAGGUGACUAUAAAAGUU
Molecule: long non-coding RNA, 617 nt
Organism: Globicephala melas (long-finned pilot whale)
Lineage: Eukaryota; Metazoa; Chordata; Mammalia; Artiodactyla; Delphinidae
Source: RefSeq, a predicted model, not a curated record